GUCAAAGCUACUUUCUCUUUACUUCAAUCUCCAAGACUGAAGAAUAAUGAAGACUCUUUUCGUGACUCUGAUACUUGCUAUGAUGAUGACAAGAGGUGAUUCUAUUCUGAAGUGUUCCUACUGUCAUCCAAAGCGUGGUGGCUGGUGUGAACAUAAAGAACAUCUCUGCCUUUUCUCAAAUGGCUGUAUUACUUAUGAGCUGAUGAUCCCUCCAUAUACAUAUGUCAAGGAAUGCCACUCUUUGACAAACUGCCGUCGUCUACAGAGCACACCAAAUGUGAGAGUCCAGUGUUGCAAUACAGACCUCUGCAAUGGUCCUGAAUAUGCUUAAUCUAAAAUAUACUUUCCUCAGUAUUACUGUCAUUUUUUGUUGUUUUUAAGCAUGUAAACAGCAAGAUCAGUCAUAUUUUUUUUAUCACUCUGACACAAAUACAGUUUCGAGUCAAAUCCUGAAGUGAAGAAAUACAUUCUCCUUUACUGCAGACUUAUUUUUAUUUUUAACAAGGGGCUGUGGAGCAUGACAAAAUCUGACAUACUCUAUUAUUUGCAGACUUAGGGUAUUACCAUGUGAACUUGAUCAAUUUUGCUACACUGUAGAUUACGUAGAGCCACUUAAAAUAAAUCACCGAGAGAAAAUUAGCAGCCUGGUAUAAUAAUCACACAUGCACCUAAAACUACACGAGGUGAAAAUUAGAAGGUAAAUUAUGUCAGAUUAAACUAGCAGUAUUUCAAACAGCAUUGGAAGACAGACUUGAGUCUUAGAAAGACUCUUUACUGCUAGAUCAACUUACUGACCAACAUACAAACAUAUCUACAAAAUUAUCCUAGAUUAUUGUGAAAUUCUGUAGUAUAGUAGUUAACUAGGAAUGAGACUAUCACACAACAUGCACAAUAUCAAGCAAAAAUUUAAAGCCAGAAAAUGUGGUAACUAACCAUGGUGAUGACAGUAUAAGUAGAUUAUAAUGCUUGUGGACUAGAUCUCUUAGUUUCACCUUUCUUUAAACAGAAAACUUUCCUCUACCUAAAUCCUUUAAUCUAGCAGUUAUCAGAACCCUGACCUCAACCCCUGACAGCUGUCCAACUAUUGGCCCAUGUUAGAAAAGACACAGCGAUUUUGUUGAUGCCUACAUAACAUUCAUGAAAUCUAGGAGUCAGGAUUUAGGCCUCAUCAUACUGUAGCACUGAGACAGCAAUGGUUAAAGUGGUAAAUGACCAACUCCUGGCCUGUGAUCUGGGAUAUGUAUCCUUGCUUGUGUUAGUGCAGAGGAGUGAGGCUUUUGACACCACUGAUCAUAUUAUUCUUCGAGGUAGACUAGAAAAUGUUUGAGUUAAGGGAAUGGCUAUCUCCUGGUUCAGGUCUUAUUUGGCUGAUCAUUAUUAGUUUGUAGAUGUAACUUCACUAUGCGUACUAAUUGUUUGGUGUUCUACAAAAAGUUUGGUGUCCAACAAUGUUCCGUUUUAGGCCCGCCGCUUGUUUCUCUAUGUAUGCUACCUCUGGUUACAAUUAUUCGUAUAUUUGGUAUUAGCUUUCACUGUUUUGCUGAUAAAACACAGUUAUAUGUUUCAGCAAAUACAGAUGUGAAAAGACACCAGCUUAAUACUUUCAAGGAAUGUAAAAAUGUCAAAACAUACCAAUCAUAAUGCCAAAAUGUAGGUAAAGUGAUAUGGUCCAUAUUCACUGUGUAGAAUGGUGAUGGCACCCAUGUUAUUGGGUUAUUUCACUUUAGCUGAUACUGGACUCUAGUCAA
This is a long non-coding RNA of Hemibagrus wyckioides, 1748 nucleotides long. RefSeq lists it as uncharacterized. NCBI's taxonomy places the organism in Eukaryota, Metazoa, Chordata, Actinopteri, Siluriformes, Bagridae. The record is from RefSeq and is a predicted model, not a curated record. The transcript has 4 exons.